Triticum urartu is the source of this 115-nucleotide non-coding RNA. Lineage: Eukaryota; Viridiplantae; Streptophyta; Magnoliopsida; Poales; Poaceae. The record is from Rfam.
CAACUACUCCCUCCGUUCCGAAUUACUCGUCGAAGAAAUGGAUGUAUCUAGAACUAAAAUACAUAUAGAUACAGCCAUACGUGCGACAAGUAAUUCGGAACAGAGGGAGUACAAG